This 616-nucleotide ribosomal RNA is filed under the name uncultured Legionella sp. RNAcentral's name for it is "bacterial SSU rRNA". It matches the Rfam family "Bacterial small subunit ribosomal RNA", at positions 242 to 849 of the family's 1533-position model. The record is from RNAcentral. Lineage: Bacteria; Pseudomonadati; Pseudomonadota; Gammaproteobacteria; Legionellales; Legionellaceae.
UAGCUAGUUGGUAGGAUAAAGGCCUACCAAGGCGACGAUCGGUAGCUGGUCUGAGAGGAUGGCCAGCCACACUGGAACUGAGACACGGUCCAGACUCCUACGGGAGGCAGCAGUGGGGAAUAUUGGACAAUGGGGGAAACCCUGAUCCAGCAAUGCCGCGUGUGUGAAGAAGGCCUGAGGGUUGUAAAGCACUUUCGGCGGGGAGGAGGGUUGAUUGGUUAAGAGCUGAUUAACUGGACGUUACCCGCAUAAGAAGCGCCGGCUAACUCCGUGCCAGCAGCCGCGGUAAUACGGAGGGUGCGAGCGUUAAUCGGAAUUACUGGGCGUAAAGGGUGCGUAGGUGGUUUGAUAAGUUAUCUGUGAAAGCCCUGGGCUCAACCUGGGAAUGCCAGAUAGUACUGUUGAACUCGAGUAUUGGAGAGGGUAGUGGAAUUUCCGGUGUAGCGGUGAAAUGCGUAGAGAUCGGAAGGAACACCAGUGGCGAAGGCGGCUACCUGGCCAGAUACUGACACUGAGGCACGAAAGCGUGGGGAGCAAACAGGAUUAGAUACCCUGGUAGUCCACGCCGUAAACGAUGUCAACUAGCUGUUGGCCUUAUGAAUAAGGUUAGUGGCGC